This 253-nucleotide ribosomal RNA is filed under the name uncultured bacterium. Its description in RNAcentral is "partial 16S ribosomal RNA". It matches the Rfam family "Bacterial small subunit ribosomal RNA", at positions 524 to 776 of the family's 1533-position model. The record is from RNAcentral.
UACGUAGGGUGCAAGCGUUAUUCGGAAUUACUGGGCGUAAAGCGUGCGCAGGCGGUUAUGUAAGUCAGUUGUGAAAUUCCCGGGCUCAACCUGGGAGCUGCGCUUGAUACUGAUUGGCUUGAAUGCGGGAGAGGAUAGUGGAAUUCCCAGUGUAGAGGUGAAAUUCGUAGAUAUUGGGAAGAACACCGGUGGCGAAGGCGGCUAGCUGGCCCGUAAUUGACGCUGAGGCACGAAAGCGUGGGGAGCAAACAGG